UCCCUGGUGGCUUGGAGGGUAAAGAAUCUACCUGCAAUGCAGGAGACCCAAGUUCAAUCCCUGGUUUGGGAA
Molecule: transfer RNA, 72 nt
Filed under: Ovis aries (sheep)
Lineage: Eukaryota; Metazoa; Chordata; Mammalia; Artiodactyla; Bovidae
Rfam family: tRNA
About the family: Transfer RNA (tRNA) molecules are approximately 80 nucleotides in length. Their secondary structure includes four short double-helical elements and three loops (D, anti-codon, and T loops).
Source: Rfam by way of RNAcentral